Molecule: ribosomal RNA, 380 nt
Filed under: uncultured eukaryote
Lineage: Eukaryota
Description: partial 18S ribosomal RNA
Rfam family: Eukaryotic small subunit ribosomal RNA
Source: RNAcentral
CAAUAGCGUAUAUUAAAGUUGUUGCAGUUAGAACGCUCGUAGUCGGAUUUCGGGGCGGGCCGACCGGUCUGCCGAUGGGUACGCACUGGUCGGCGCGUCCUUCCUUCCGGAGACCGUGCCUACUCUUAACUGAGCGGGGGCGGGAGACGGAUCGUUUACUUUGAAAAAAUCAGAGUGUUUCAAGCGGGCAGCUCGCUCUUGCAUGGAUUAGCAUGGGAUAAUGAAAUAGGACUUUGGUGCUAUUUUGUUGGUUUCGAACACCGAAGUAAUGAUUAAAAGGGACAGUCAGGGGCACUCGUAUUCCGCAGAGAGAGGUGAAAUUCUCAGACCCGCGGAAGACGAACCACUGCGAAAGCAUUUGCCAGGGAUGUUUUCACUGA